GACGAACGCUGGCGGCGUGCCUAAUACAUGCAAGUAGAACGCACAGUUUAUACCGUAGCUUGCUACACCAUAGACUGUGAGUUGCGAACGGGUGAGUAACGCGUAGGUAACCUGCCUGGUAGCGGGGGAUAACUAUUGGAAACGAUAGCUAAUACCGCAUAAUAUUAAUUAUUGCAUGAUAAUUAAUUGAAAGGUGCAAUUGCACCACUACCAGAUGGACCUGCGUUGUAUUAGCUAGUAGGUGAGGUAACGGCUCACCUAGGCGACGAUACAUAGCCGACCUGAGAGGGUGAUCGGCCACACUGGGACUGAGACACGGCCCAGACUCCUACGGGAGGCAGCAGUAGGGAAUCUUCGGCAAUGGACGAAAGUCUGACCGAGCAACGCCGCGUGAGUGAAGAAGGUUGUCGGAUCGUAAAGCUCUGUUGUAAGAGAAGAACGGGUGUGAGAGUGGAAAGUUCACACUGUGACGGUAGCUGACCAGAAAGGGACGGCUAACUACGUG
Molecule: ribosomal RNA, 505 nt
Filed under: uncultured bacterium
Lineage: Bacteria
Description: partial 16S ribosomal RNA
Rfam family: Bacterial small subunit ribosomal RNA
Source: RNAcentral